This 157-nucleotide ribosomal RNA is filed under the name Pratylenchus sp. 1 WB-2017. RNAcentral's name for it is "5.8S ribosomal RNA". It matches the Rfam family "5.8S ribosomal RNA". Rfam says of the family: 5.8S ribosomal RNA (5.8S rRNA) is a component of the large subunit of the eukaryotic ribosome. It is transcribed by RNA polymerase I as part of the 45S precursor that also contains 18S and 28S rRNA. Functionally, it is thought that 5.8S rRNA may be involved in ribosome translocation. The record is from RNAcentral. Lineage: Eukaryota; Metazoa; Nematoda; Chromadorea; Rhabditida; Pratylenchidae.
CUAGUCUUAUCGGUGGAUCACUCGGCUCGUGGUUCGAUGAAGAACGCAGCUAACUGCGAUAAAUAGUGCGAACUGCAGAGACAUUGAGCACAAAAGCCUCGAAUGCACAUUGCGCCAUUGGGUUCACUCCCUUUGGCACGCCUGGUUCAGGGUCAUU